AAAUAUAUUUAAACUGAGACCUCGUCCAAGGGGAUGGGGUUGGACAAUGCUGAAUGAGGUUGAGAUUAUAGUGCGUAUGCAAGGAUCCGGCGCUGAAUUCACAUCGGUAUCAAGAAGGACAUGUUAUGAUAAUAGCCUCCACUGCCCGUUACACACGUGUUAUCUCCAAUGGAAGUGGCAUCGCGAUUACUAGAUGCUAAUGAGCGCUAAGGAAGAAGUACCUCCGUCAAAGUCGUUCCGUAUUGCUACGUUUGCUUGACAUAUCAAGAGAGCAAAACGAUGAGGUUAGGCAUAUAAGCCUGUCAAAACCAUAGGUUGAACACCCACAGGUUACAUUAUGCGGACAUCGGGUGAGAUAUUCGGGGUACUACUGAACGAGCUGGCAAGUCUUUUGCACCGUUUCUGGCCGUGAUUCCCGCUCCAGGGCGAGCUUGAAAAGUCGUUACGUUCUCGAUAAA
RNAcentral lists this ribosomal RNA (458 nucleotides) under Chlamydomonas reinhardtii. Lineage: Eukaryota; Viridiplantae; Chlorophyta; Chlorophyceae; Chlamydomonadales; Chlamydomonadaceae. The record is from RNAcentral.